GCCUGAGUGAUUCAGUUGGUUAAGUGUCUGACUUCAGCUCAGGUCAUGAUCUGACGGUUCGUGGGUUCAAGCCCCACAUCCGGCU
This 85-nucleotide transfer RNA is filed under the name Felis catus (domestic cat). It matches the Rfam family "tRNA". From Rfam's summary of the family: Transfer RNA (tRNA) molecules are approximately 80 nucleotides in length. Their secondary structure includes four short double-helical elements and three loops (D, anti-codon, and T loops). Further hydrogen bonds mediate the characteristic L-shaped molecular structure. tRNAs have two regions of fundamental functional importance: the anti-codon, which is responsible for specific mRNA codon recognition, and the 3' end, to which the tRNAs corresponding amino acid is attached (by aminoacyl-tRNA synthetases). tRNAs cope with the degeneracy of the genetic code in two manners: having more than one tRNA (with a specific anti-codon) for a particular amino acid; and 'wobble' base-pairing, i.e. permitting non-standard base-pairing at the 3rd anti-codon position. Lineage: Eukaryota; Metazoa; Chordata; Mammalia; Carnivora; Felidae. RNAcentral also lists the same sequence under 1 other name. The record is from Rfam by way of RNAcentral.